This 267-nucleotide ribosomal RNA is filed under the name uncultured bacterium. Its description in RNAcentral is "partial 16S ribosomal RNA". It matches the Rfam family "Bacterial small subunit ribosomal RNA", at positions 524 to 792 of the family's 1533-position model. The record is from RNAcentral.
UACGAAGGGGACUAGCGUUGUUCGGAAUCACUGGGCGUAAAGCGCACGUAGGCGGAUUUGUAAGUCAGGGGUGAAAUCCCGGGGCUCAACCUCGGAACUGCCUUUGAUACUGCGAGUCUUGAGUCCGAUAGAGGUGGGUGGAAUUCCUAGUGUAGAGGUGAAAUUCGUAGAUAUUGGGAAGAACACCGGUGGCGAAGGCGGCUCACUGGCUCGUUUCUGACGCUCAGGCACGACAGCGUGGGGAUCAAACAGGAUUAGAACCACGUA